UCUUGUGCUAAAAAGUAGAUGCCUUUCAGAAGACGUUAAUAUAGCCUUUCAAAUAAUUUGUUUGGAAGGAUCAAUCAUGCACCCUGCUUUCAAAGGUUUGGAAUUGUGGUUGGAGAAUUUUACCCCCAAUAGCUGAGUCUAAGGGUAGGAGAAAGGUAAGAGACUUUAUUCAUGUGUAGUUUUUCUUAUCAUUGUAUGCAAAUUUAAGGAUUAAACUUUAAGGAGACUGUAUAAGACACUUCUUAAACUAGAAAGUGCGUGGGAGAACAAACGGUAAUGAGCUGUGUAUAUAUAUAUCUUUUUCUUUUUUAAAUUAUAGUGGUUGGCACUUACCAUGGUUCCCCAGACCAGUCCCAUCAAGUGACUGGUAACCACCAGCAGCCUCCUCAGCAGAACACUGGAUUUCCACGUAGCAAUCAGCCCUAUUACAAUAGUCGUGGUGUGUCUCGUGGAGGCUCCCGUGGUGCUAGAGGCUUGAUGAAUGGAUACCGGGGCCCUGCCAAUGGAUUCAGAGGAGGAUAUGAUGGUUACCGCCCUUCAUUCUCUAACACUCCAAACAGUGGUUAUACACAGUCUCAGUUCAGUGCUCCC
RNAcentral lists this small RNA (591 nucleotides) under Pan troglodytes (chimpanzee). Its description in RNAcentral is "processed transcript". The record is from RNAcentral. Lineage: Eukaryota; Metazoa; Chordata; Mammalia; Primates; Hominidae.